This 254-nucleotide ribosomal RNA is filed under the name uncultured bacterium. RNAcentral's name for it is "partial 16S ribosomal RNA". It matches the Rfam family "Bacterial small subunit ribosomal RNA", at positions 526 to 779 of the family's 1533-position model. The record is from RNAcentral.
CGGAGGGUGCGAGCGUUGUCCGGAAUCACUGGGCGUAAAGGGCGCGUAGGCGGUGGGGUAAGCGUGUGGUGAAAGUCCGGGGCUCAACCCCGGAUCGGCCGUGCGAACUGCUUCACUUGAGCACUGUAGAGGCAGGUGGAAUUCCGGGUGUAGCGGUGGAAUGCGUAGAGAUCCGGAAGAACACCGGUGGCGAAGGCGGCCUGCUGGGCAGUGGCUGACGCUGAGGCGCGACAGCGUGGGGAGCAAACAGGAUU